UGCAAGUCGAGCGGAGAGAGGUAGCUUGCUACUGAUCUUAGCGGCGGACGGGUGAGUAAUGCUUAGGAAUCUGCCUAUUAGUGGGGGACAACAUUCCGAAAGGAAUGCUAAUACCGCAUACGCCCUACGGGGGAAAGCAGGGGAUCAUUAGACCUUGCGCUAAUAGAUGAGCCUAAGUCAGAUUAGCUAGUUGGUGGGGUAAAGGCCUACCAAGGCGACGAUCUGUAGCGGGUCUGAGAGGAUGAUCCGCCACACUGGGACUGAGACACGGCCCAGACUCCUACGGGAGGCAGCAGUGGGGAAUAUUGGACAAUGGGGGGAACCCUGAUCCAGCCAUGCCGCGUGUGUGAAGAAGGCCUUUUGGUUGUAAAGCACUUUAAGCGAGGAGGAGGCUACUCUGGUUAAUACCUGGGGAUAGUGGACGUUACUCGCAGAAUAAGCACCGGCUAACUCUGUGCCAGCAGCCGCGGUAAUACAGAGGGUGCGAGCGUUAAUCGGAUUUACUGGGCGUAAAGCGUACGUAGGCGGCUUUUUAAGUCGGAUGUGAAAUCCCUGAGCUUAACUUAGGAAUUGCAUUCGAUACUGGGAAGCUAGAGUAUGGGAGAGGAUGGUAGAAUUCCAGGUGUAGCGGUGAAAUGCGUAGAGAUCUGGAGGAAUACCGAUGGCGAAGGCAGCCAUCUGGCCUAAUACUGACGCUGAGGUACGAAAGCAUGGGGAGCAAACAGGAUUAGAUACCCUGGUAGUCCAUGCCGUAAACGAUGUCUACUAGCCGUUGGGGCC
This 780-nucleotide ribosomal RNA is filed under the name Acinetobacter sp. 2P1E4. RNAcentral's name for it is "bacterial SSU rRNA". It matches the Rfam family "Bacterial small subunit ribosomal RNA", at positions 56 to 830 of the family's 1533-position model. The record is from RNAcentral. Lineage: Bacteria; Pseudomonadati; Pseudomonadota; Gammaproteobacteria; Moraxellales; Moraxellaceae.